GAAGUCAGAUAGGAGCAAAGAAAAGGGGAGGAGGUGCUCAAGUAGAGGUUGGAGACAGUUGUAGGGGGACGGAGGAGGUUGGCACGGCCCUCUCCGCGAGGAGACGGGGCUCGGUAGAAUUUUCCUGGGGCGUGGUAGCGUGGAGUGGAACCUCGAGCGGCGGAGCCCAGUGGAGAGGCAGAACUAGACAGGAGGUGACGGCCUAGGCGGCGGAGUUGGAGAGGCGGAGCUAGGCAGGCGGCGGCGGCCUAGGGCCUUCGUCGGCCUAGGCGGCGGCGGACGGAGUGGACGCAAGCAGGCGUCGCACCCGGUGCGUCGACGGAGCCGGGGGGACGGAGCAGGUUGGCGCGGUCCUCUCCUCAGGAGACGGGGCGGUGGCCUAGCUGGGGUCUCGUCGGCCUAAGCUGCAGAUGACGGAGUGGACGCAAGCAGACGACGCACCCGCGUCGACGAGCACUUGGCAGCAGGUAGAGAGACGGGACGACACAUCCAGUGGGCGCAGCGACCACAGCGUCCAGAAGCCCGCCGUAACUACGAAGCUAACCGUCGACUACAGAGUGAAAGACUAAGGAAUAAGCGACAAUAGUGGUCGACCCAGAAACGCAGAGAGACGAGGGCUCAUAACGUCGGGAAGAGAGUAAAUCGUCCAGUACUAAAACUGAGGGGAGUUGGCUCGACUAAAAGACACGCACGCCUGGCGCC
RNAcentral lists this ribosomal RNA (702 nucleotides) under Triticum aestivum (bread wheat). RNAcentral describes it as "partial small subunit ribosomal RNA". Lineage: Eukaryota; Viridiplantae; Streptophyta; Magnoliopsida; Poales; Poaceae. The record is from RNAcentral.